AGGAUUAACGCUGGCGGCGUGCCUAACACAUGCAAGUCGAACGAGGUAGCAAUACCUAGUGGCAGACGGGUGAGUAACGCGUGGUCAACCUACCGUUGAGUGGGGGAUAACUAGCCGAAAGGUUAGCUAAUACCGCAUACGAGUCUCGGGGGCAUCCCUGGGCCUUAAAAGGAGCAAUCCGCUCGAUGACGGGACCGCGUCCCAUUAGCUAGAUGGUGGGGUAACGGCCUACCAUGGCACCGAUGGGUAGCUGGUUUGAGAGAGCGACCAGCCACACUGGGACUGAGAAACGGCCCAGACUCCUACGGGAGGCAGCAGUGAGGAAUUUUCCGCAAUGGGCGAAAGCCUGACGGAGCGACGCCGCGUGUGGGAAGAAGGGCCUUCGGGUCGUAAACCGACUGGUCGAAGGGGACGAGUAAUGACGGUACCCUUGGAGGAAGCCCGGCUAACGUACGCGCCAGCAGCCGC
Molecule: ribosomal RNA, 468 nt
Filed under: uncultured bacterium
Lineage: Bacteria
Description: SSU rRNA
Rfam family: Bacterial small subunit ribosomal RNA
Source: RNAcentral